This 226-nucleotide ribosomal RNA is filed under the name Salmonella enterica subsp. enterica serovar 4,12:d:-. RNAcentral describes it as "partial 23S ribosomal RNA". It matches the Rfam family "Bacterial large subunit ribosomal RNA", at positions 1124 to 1348 of the family's 2925-position model. Lineage: Bacteria; Pseudomonadati; Pseudomonadota; Gammaproteobacteria; Enterobacterales; Enterobacteriaceae. The record is from RNAcentral.
UAAAGAAAGCGUAAUAGCUCACUGGUCGAGUCGGCCUGCGCGGAAGAUGUAACGGGGCUAAACCAUGCACCGAAGCUGCGGCAGCGACGCUGAUGCGUUGUUGGGUAGGGGAGCGUUCUGUAAGCCUGUGAAGGUGUGUCGUGAGGCAUGCUGGAGGUAUCAGAAGUGCGAAUGCUGACAUAAGUAACGAUAAAGCGGGUGAAAAGCCCGCUCGCCGGAAGACCAA